RNAcentral lists this RNase P RNA (420 nucleotides) under bacterium. RNAcentral describes it as "RNase P RNA component class A". It matches the Rfam family "Bacterial RNase P class A". Rfam says of the family: Ribonuclease P (RNase P) is a ubiquitous endoribonuclease, found in archaea, bacteria and eukarya as well as chloroplasts and mitochondria. The record is from RNAcentral.
GUAAGAGACCGAAUGAUCGCCCUGAUGAAUAGUCGGGGAGGAAAGUCCGAACACCCUUCGUAGUAAUGCGAAGAAGUAGGUACCACCUAACGGGUGGGCAGUAUGACCGGCAUAAUUCGCCUUUGGCGAAAAAGUCGGCUGACGGAUUAGUGCCACAGAGACUAUACUAGCUCCGACGCAAGUCGGAGUGAAAGGUGAAAAGUGAAGAAGUGUUGUAUCGCUUUGACAAGCCUAAAGCUUGUGAAAAUGAAAAGGCUACUCUUCUUGCGCUCGAGUAAUCGAGACGCGUGGAAAACCCUACCUGGUGCAACUCCAAAUACGGAGGCUUGAGGCCCCGCGCGAGCGUGGUCCCAGAGAGAUGAUCAUUCAGUCCCGCGUCCGCGGGAUGGACAGAAUUCGGCUUACAGGUUUCUUAUGAGC